UGCAAGUCGAGGGGAAACGGCAUUAAGUGCUUGCACUUUUUGGACGUCGACCGGCGCACGGGUGAGUAACGCGUAUCCAACCUGCCCCUUACCAGGGAAUAACCCGUUGAAAGACGGACUAAUGCCCUAUGGAGUCCUUUGAUGGCAUCAGAUUAGGACUAAAGAUUCAUCGGUAUGGGAUGGGGAUGCGUCUGAUUAGCUUGUUGGCGGGGUAACGGCCCACCAAGGCAUCGAUCAGUAGGGGUUCUGAGAGGAAGGUCCCCCACAUAGGAACUGAGACACGGUCCUAACUCCUACGGGAGGCAGCAGUGAGGAAUAUUGGUCAAUGGGCGGUAGCCUGAACCAGCCAAGUAGCGUGCAGGACGACGGCCCUAUGGGUUGUAAACUGCUUUUAUGCGGGGAUAAAGUCACCCACGUGUGGGUGUUUGCAGGUACCGCAUGAAUAAGGACCGGCUAAUUCCGUGCCAGCAGCCGCGGUAAUACGGAAGGUCCGGGCGUUAUCCGGAUUUAUUGGGUUUAAAGGGAGUGUAGGCGGCCUGUUAAGCGUGUUGUGAAAUGUAGAUGCUCAACAUCUGAACUGCAGCGCGAACUGGCUGGCUUGAGUACACGCAACGUGGGCGGAAUUCAUGGUGUAGCGGUGAAAUGCUUAGAUAUCAUGAGGAACUCCUAUUGCGAAGGCAGCUCACGGGAGUGUCACUGACGCUUAAGCUCGAAGGUGCGG
This 721-nucleotide ribosomal RNA is filed under the name uncultured bacterium. RNAcentral describes it as "bacterial SSU rRNA". It matches the Rfam family "Bacterial small subunit ribosomal RNA", at positions 56 to 764 of the family's 1533-position model. The record is from RNAcentral.